RNAcentral lists this ribosomal RNA (253 nucleotides) under uncultured bacterium. RNAcentral describes it as "partial 16S ribosomal RNA". It matches the Rfam family "Bacterial small subunit ribosomal RNA", at positions 524 to 776 of the family's 1533-position model. The record is from RNAcentral.
UACGGAGGGUGCAAGCGUUAUCCGGAUUUACUGGGUUUAAAGGGUGUGUAGGCGGGCUAUUAAGUCAGCGGUGAAAUCUCGGGGCUCAACCCCGAAACUGCCAUUGAUACUAUUAGUCUUGAAUACUGUGGAGGUAUGCGGAAUGUGUCAUGUAGCGGUGAAAUGCUUAGAGAUGACACAGAACACCGAUUGCGAAGGCAGCGUACUACACAGUGAUUGACGCUGAGGCACGAAAGCGUGGGGAUCAAACAGG